ACGAUAGCUAAUACCGCAUAAAAGUCGAUAUCGCAUGAUGUUGACUUGAAAGGUGCAAAUGCAUCACUAAGAGAUGGACCUGCGUUGUAUUAGCUAGUUGGUGAGGUAACGGCUCACCAAGGCGACGAUACAUAGCCGACCUGAGAGGGUGAUCGGCCACACUGGGACUGAGACACGGCCCAGACUCCUACGGGAGGCAGCAGUAGGGAAUCUUCGGCAAUGGGGGCAACCCUGACCGAGCAACGCCGCGUGAGUGAAGAAGGUUUUCGGAUCGUAAAGCUCUGUUGUAAGAGAAGAACGAGUGUGAGAGUGGAAAGUUCACACUGUGACGGUAACUUACCAGAAAGGGACGGCUAACUACGUGCCAGCAGCCGCGGUAAUACGUAGGUCCCGAGCGUUAUCCGGAUCUAUUGGGCGUAAAGCGAGCGCAGGCGGUUAGAUAAGUCUGAAGUUAAAGGCUGUGGCUUAACCAUAGUACGCUUUGGAAACUGUUUAACUUGAGUGCAGAAGGGGAGAGUGGAAUUCCAUGUGUAGCGGUGAAAUGCGUAGAUAUAUGGAGGAA
This 562-nucleotide ribosomal RNA is filed under the name uncultured Bacilli bacterium. Its description in RNAcentral is "bacterial SSU rRNA". It matches the Rfam family "Bacterial small subunit ribosomal RNA", at positions 156 to 706 of the family's 1533-position model. Lineage: Bacteria; Bacillati; Bacillota; Bacilli. The record is from RNAcentral.